Long non-coding RNA from Zingiber officinale, 1115 nucleotides. RefSeq lists it as uncharacterized. Lineage: Eukaryota; Viridiplantae; Streptophyta; Magnoliopsida; Zingiberales; Zingiberaceae. The transcript has 4 exons. The record is from RefSeq and is a predicted model, not a curated record.
UUUGAUAGCUCAUUCAUACGACUGCUUGCUACUACCAUGCUUAGUGGGAAGAAACUUGCCCAAGCAUUGGUGAGCGUAGAUAUUAUUUGUAAUAUGAUUUUCAUAUUCAACUAAUGGAAUUCAAUUUGAUUGAACAUCUUUUUAGCUCCCUACUAAGAAAAGUGCUAUUGCAAAACCGCAAGUGAAAACAAUAGAUGGGGUGGAACAAUCGAAGGAUUUUGUUGAGAUUGAAGAUGCUGAGAUAAUUAAAACUCCAAUUCUAUUUUUUUUUUUGAAUUAAAGACCACUUGUUUUAUUUUACAUGGAAUUAAAUUACAAAGAUGGAAAAAAAAAGCUAAUGUAGAAUAAUUAUUCAAUAAAUCUUUUGGGUAUAUUUCGUUGAUUGCGAAAUGAGUUUAGAGAAAAUUGAAGGAAGAUUGGGAUCACACGUAAAGGUGGAAAUUAUUGGAUGGAAGGUAAUGAAUCCUUCCACAAAACCUUCACUUACUCUAAUUGAAGCUACAACAUUGGGAGAAGUCGACAAAGGAAUUAGGGAGCUGAAAAAUGAUCCUCUUGUAGAAUUGCUUUCACCAAAAUGGAUUUUCACUUCUGCAUAUACAACCAAGUGAAAUCUUUUUGUUAGAGGAGGCUGGUGUAUUGGUGUGCAAGGUUGCCUGUUUGAAUGAGUAGAAUUGGCAGCUAGUGGCUUUCUCCAGACAGCUCUUGAUUUUGUUUGGACUGUCCAUAGGUUUCCUUCCUCUUCCAAUUUCCUAUCUUGAAUAAUUGCAGGAGCAUCUACUUUGAGAGCAAUAGAGGCAAUUGUUACUUAACCUGAAAUCAGACAUUGCAGUAAAUCUUCUAAUCCAUAUCAAGAGUCUACCAAGGAGAAGCGUCGUUCACAAAUAGCUCAAGGCGUCUAAGUUGUGCAACCUUCUUCUAAAAGCUGUAUGGAAUGCUCCUGCAUUAGGUGACUCAUCAUGCAUUAUAUAUCCAUAUUGUUUACAAUAAAAUCGUGGGAUGCUUACGAGAAGAGGAUUAUAUUAGUGACCUGUAAGUAUCCAUCAUGGGUACCAUUAAGUUUUUAUGUUUAAAGUUUUAUUCAUGAUAGACAUAACCUAUUUUGUUUUAUUUACGGC